UACGGGGGGGGCAAGCGUUGUUCGGAAUUACUGGGCGUAAAGGGCUCGUAGGCGGCCAACUAAGUCAUACGUGAAAUCCCUCGGCUUAACCGGGGAACUGCGUCUGAUACUGGAUGGCUUGAGUUCGGGAGAGGGAUGCGGAAUUCCAGGUGUAGCGGUGAAAUGCGUAGAUACCUGGAGGAACACCGGUGGCGAAGGCGGCAUCCUGGACCGAUACUGACGCUGAGGAGCGAAAGCCAGGGGAGCAAACGGG
Molecule: ribosomal RNA, 253 nt
Filed under: uncultured bacterium
Lineage: Bacteria
Description: partial 16S ribosomal RNA
Rfam family: Bacterial small subunit ribosomal RNA
Source: RNAcentral